UGACGCUCGGGGGACCGCAAGCCACCGCAGACAGCACCGGCUGCGGAUACAUACCCAGGUCGGCGUACAGCCGGACGGUCCACAUAGCCAUGUAUGUGGUGGGAGGGAUGCUGGUGUUCAUCUGCAUACCGCUGGUGAUGGCGGCGGUCUCCUGCCUGCGGAACCGGCCGUGGCGGCGGCG
Pollicipes pollicipes is the source of this 181-nucleotide long non-coding RNA. RefSeq lists it as uncharacterized. The record is from RefSeq and is a predicted model, not a curated record. The transcript has 3 exons. Lineage: Eukaryota; Metazoa; Arthropoda; Thecostraca; Pollicipedomorpha; Pollicipedidae.